GCUAUAGUGGUUCAGUCAGUGGUGCAUGAGACUCUUAAUCUCAGGGUUGUGGGUUCAAGCCCCACGUUUGGUU
Non-coding RNA from Podarcis lilfordi (Lilford's wall lizard), 73 nucleotides. The record is from the annotation of a GenBank genome assembly. Lineage: Eukaryota; Metazoa; Chordata; Lepidosauria; Squamata; Lacertidae.